RNAcentral lists this ribosomal RNA (138 nucleotides) under Triticum aestivum (bread wheat). RNAcentral's name for it is "partial small subunit ribosomal RNA". Lineage: Eukaryota; Viridiplantae; Streptophyta; Magnoliopsida; Poales; Poaceae. The record is from RNAcentral.
AUGGAAAGUGUUCAAUUAGAACAUGAAAACGUGACUACAUUAGUCUUAGUUAGUCUUCGGGACGGAGUGGAAGAAGGGGGGAGACUCUCGAACAAGGAAAAUCACCCCUUUGAAAGAAUUGACCGAGGAGUCGUAUGA